AAAGCGCGCGUAGGUGGUUUGUUAAGUUGGAUGUGAAAUCCCCGGGCUCAACCUGGGAACUGCAUCCAAAACUGGCAAGCUAGAGUAUGGUAGAGGGUGGUGGAAUUUCCUGUGUAGCGGUGAAAUGCGUAGAUAUAGGAAGGAACACCAGUGGCGAAGGCGACCACCUGGACUGAUACUGACACUGAGGUGCGAAAGCGUGGGGAGCAAACAGGAUUAGAUACCCUUGU
Molecule: ribosomal RNA, 230 nt
Filed under: uncultured bacterium
Lineage: Bacteria
Description: partial 16S ribosomal RNA
Rfam family: Bacterial small subunit ribosomal RNA
Source: RNAcentral